AUUGAACGCUGGCGGCAUGCCUUACACAUGCAAGUCGAACGGCAGCACGGGUGCUUGCACCUGGUGGCGAGUGGCGAACGGGUGAGUAAUAUAUCGGAACGUACCUCAUUGUGGGGGAUAACGCAGCGAAAGCUGUGCUAAUACCGCAUAAUCCCUAAGGGGGAAAGCGGGGACCGUAAGGCCUCGCGCAAUUAGAGCGGCCGAUACCUGAUUAGCUAGUUGGUGAGGUAAAGACUCACCAAGGCAACGAUCAGUAGCUGGUCUGAGAGGACGAUCAGCCACACUGGGACUGAGACACGGCCCAGACUCCUACGGGAGGCAGCAGUGGGGAAUUUUGGACAAUGGGGGCAACCCUGAUCCAGCAAUGCCGCGUGAGUGAAGAAGGCCUUCGGGUUGUAAAGCUCUUUUGUCAGGGAAGAAACAGCAGCUCUAACGCAGUAUGCGAAUGACGGUACCUGAAGAAUAAGCACCGGCUAACUACGUGCCAGCCGCCGCGGUAA
Molecule: ribosomal RNA, 500 nt
Filed under: uncultured bacterium
Lineage: Bacteria
Description: partial 16S ribosomal RNA
Rfam family: Bacterial small subunit ribosomal RNA
Source: RNAcentral